Molecule: ribosomal RNA, 255 nt
Filed under: uncultured bacterium
Lineage: Bacteria
Description: partial 16S ribosomal RNA
Rfam family: Bacterial small subunit ribosomal RNA
Source: RNAcentral
UACAGAGGGUGCGAGCGUUGUUCGGAAUUACUGGGCGUAAAGCGCGCGCAGGCGGCCCUUUAGGUCCGUCGGUCAAAUGCCGGGGCUCAACCCCGAUGCAUGCCGAGGAUACUGGAGGGCUGGAGACACGUAGAGGCAAGCGGAAUUCCGGGUGUAGCGGUGGAAUGCGUAGAGAUCCGGAAGAACACCGGAGGCGAAGGCGGCUUGCUGGGCGUGAUCUGACGCUGAGGCGCGAAAGCGUGGGGAGCGAACAGG